UACAGAGGUCUCAAGCGUUGUUCGGAUUCAUUGGGCGUAAAGGGUGCGUAGGCGGCGCGGUAAGUCGGGUGUGAAAUUUCGAGGCUUAACUUCGAAACUGCAUUCGAUACUGCCGUGCUAGAGGACUGGAGAGGAGAGUGGAAUUCCUGGUGUAGCGGUGAAAUGCGCAGAUAUCAGGAAGAACACCCGUGGCGAAGGCGGCUCUCUGGGACGGUACUGACGCUGAGACGCGAAAGCGUGGGGAGCGAACAGG
RNAcentral lists this ribosomal RNA (253 nucleotides) under uncultured bacterium. Its description in RNAcentral is "partial 16S ribosomal RNA". It matches the Rfam family "Bacterial small subunit ribosomal RNA", at positions 524 to 776 of the family's 1533-position model. The record is from RNAcentral.